This 468-nucleotide ribosomal RNA is filed under the name uncultured bacterium. Its description in RNAcentral is "partial 16S ribosomal RNA". It matches the Rfam family "Bacterial small subunit ribosomal RNA", at positions 28 to 507 of the family's 1533-position model. The record is from RNAcentral.
GACGAACGCUGGCGGCGUGCUUAACACAUGCAAGUCGAACGGAAAGGCCCUGCUUUUGUGGGGUGCUCGAGUGGCGAACGGGUGAGUAACACGUGAGUAACCUGCCCUUGACUUUGGGAUAACUUCAGGAAACUGGGGCUAAUACCGGAUAGGAGCUCCUGCUGCAUGGUGGGGGUUGGAAAUUUUCGGCGGUUGGGGAUGGACUCGCGGCUUAUCAGCUUGUUGGUGGGGUAGUGGCUUACCAAGGCUUUGACGGGUAGCCGGCCUGAGAGGGUGACCGGCCACAUUGGGACUGAGAGACGGCGCAGACUCCUACGGGAGGCAGCAGUGGGGAAUAUUGCACAAUGGGCGGAAGCCUGAUGCAGCAACGCCGCGUGCGGGAUGACGGCCUUCGGGUUGUAAACCGCUGUCGCCUGUGACGAAGCGUGAGUGACGGUAAUGGGUAAAGAAGCACCGGCUAACUACGUG